GACGAACGCUGGCGGCGUGCUUAACACAUGCAAGUCGAGCGGUAAGGCCCUUUCGGGGGUACACGAGCGGCGAACGGGUGAGUAACACCUGGGUGACCUGCCCUCAGCUCUGGGAUAAGCCCGGGAAACUGGGUCUAAUACCGGAUAUGACUCCAUGACGCAUGUUGUGGGGUGGAAAGCCUUGUGCGGCUGAGGAUGGGCCCGCGGCCUAUCAGCUUGUUGGGUGGGGUGANGGCCUACCAAGGCGACGACGGGUAGCCGGCCUGAGAGGGCGACCGGCCACACUGGGACUGAGACACGGCCCAGACUCCUACGGGAGGCAGCAGUGGGGAAUCUUGCGCAAUGGGCGAAAGCCUGACGCAGCGACGCCGCGUGA
Molecule: ribosomal RNA, 376 nt
Filed under: uncultured bacterium
Lineage: Bacteria
Description: bacterial SSU rRNA
Rfam family: Bacterial small subunit ribosomal RNA
Source: RNAcentral